GACGAACGCUGGCGGCGUGCCUAACACAUGCAAGUCGAACGGGACCGCAAGGUUCAGUGGCGGACGGGUGCGUAACACGUGAGGAACAUAGCCAAUGGCGGGGGAUAGCCGGCCCAACGGCCGGGUAAUACCGCGUACGACCUUUGGGGGGCAUCCCCUGGGGGUGAAAGCAGCAAUGCGCCGAUGGGGUGCCUCGCGGCCUAUCAGCUAGUUGGUGAGGUAACGGCUCACCAAGGCUACGACGGGAGCUGGUCCGAGAGGAUGACCAGCCACAUUGGGACUGAGACACGGCCCAGACUCCUACGGGAGGCAGCAGUGGGGAAUAUUGCGCAAUGGGCGAAAGCCUGACGCAGCGACGCCGCGUGUGGGAUGAAGUC
This 377-nucleotide ribosomal RNA is filed under the name uncultured bacterium. RNAcentral's name for it is "bacterial SSU rRNA". It matches the Rfam family "Bacterial small subunit ribosomal RNA", at positions 28 to 415 of the family's 1533-position model. The record is from RNAcentral.